CCUACGGGGGGCAGCAGUCGGGAAUAUUGGGCAAUGGAGGAAACUCUGACCCAGCAAUACCGCGUGAAGGAUGAAGGUUUUCGGAUUGUAAACUUCUUUUGUCAAGGGACAAAAUCAGGCUCGAGAGCCUGACCGAGGGUACUUGAAGAAAAAGCAUCGGCUAACUCCGUGCCAGCAGCCGCGGUAAUACGGAGGAUGCGAGCGUUAUCCGGAUUGAUUGGGUUUAAAGGGUGCGUAGGCGGGCUGUUAAGUCAGCGGUAAAAGCCCGGGGCUCAACCCCGGCGAGCCGUUGAAACUGGCUGUCUUGAGAUGUCGAGAGGUAUGCGGAAUGCGCAGUGUAGCGGUGAAAUGCUUAGAUAUUGCGCAGAACUCCGAUUGCGAAGGCAGCAUACCGGCGGCGAUCUGACGCUGAGGCACGAAAGCGUGGGUAUCGAACAGGAUUAGAUACCCUUGUAGUC
This 458-nucleotide ribosomal RNA is filed under the name uncultured bacterium. Its description in RNAcentral is "partial 16S ribosomal RNA". It matches the Rfam family "Bacterial small subunit ribosomal RNA", at positions 338 to 795 of the family's 1533-position model. The record is from RNAcentral.